CAGGUGCAUGGAAAGGUCUUGUAGACAGUUUGGUGAAGGAGAAAGCUUUUAUGCAGAAGGCCUAUGAAGAAAGAAUUGAGAGACUUGAAGGACAACUCCUACUUGUUUAUGCUCGUCCUGAUGACACAUGUCCUUAAAUGGUUUUCUUGGUUGUAUUUUGGGUUGAUAACUUUGUAUAUUUUGAUAAAAAUGCUUAAAAUGAAAAUUUUUGUUUUGUUAUCAAAAAUGUUUGCAAUUCUAUCUUUUCCUUCACUUAGAGUUCCUUGGAAAAUCAUUCAUUUUGCAUAUCCAUGCAUCACGUGCAUACAGGUUGUCUGUCUUGG
RNAcentral lists this long non-coding RNA (323 nucleotides) under Lathyrus oleraceus (garden pea). RNAcentral describes it as "Pisum sativum (pea) long non-coding RNA (PSAT_LNC021216)". The record is from RNAcentral. Lineage: Eukaryota; Viridiplantae; Streptophyta; Magnoliopsida; Fabales; Fabaceae.